UAUCCAUGGUGUGGACAUUACAAUAAAAGUGAUUUGAAGCGAUCUCAUACUUCAAGAAAGGAUUCAGUAUCCUUUUAAUAAAAAUUAGAAAUUUCAGCUCUUAAUUC
This 107-nucleotide small nucleolar RNA is filed under the name Ricinus communis (castor bean). RNAcentral describes it as "Plant small nucleolar RNA R71". It matches the Rfam family "Plant small nucleolar RNA R71". Rfam says of the family: R71 is a member of the C/D box family of snoRNAs containing the C (UGAUGA) and D (CUGA) box motifs. Multiple nearly identical copies of this snoRNA have been identified in Arabidopsis, and it is thought to function as a 2'-O-ribose methylation guide for 18S ribosomal RNA. The record is from Rfam by way of RNAcentral. Lineage: Eukaryota; Viridiplantae; Streptophyta; Magnoliopsida; Malpighiales; Euphorbiaceae.